GCCAGCAGCCUUAUCACCCUGCAACUCACAACUGGCAACCCACUGAAGCUAAGCAGGUGUGAGCCUGGUCAGUACCUGGAUGGGAGACCUCCUGGGAAAAACUAAGGUUGCUGCUGGAA
Ribosomal RNA from Lepisosteus oculatus (spotted gar), 119 nucleotides. The record is from Ensembl. Lineage: Eukaryota; Metazoa; Chordata; Actinopteri; Semionotiformes; Lepisosteidae.